GUGGGGAAUCUUGCGCAAUGGGCGAAAGCCUGACGCAGCCAUGCCGCGUGAAUGAUGCAGUUCUCAGGAUUGUAAAAUUCUUUCACCGGGGACGAUAAUUACGGUACCCGGAGAAGAAGCUCCGGCUAACUUCGUGCCAGCAGCUGCUGUAAUACGAAUGGGGCUAGCGUUGCUCGGAAUUACUGGGCGUAAAGGGCGCGUAGGCGGACAGCUUAGUCAGAGGUGAAAGCCCAGGGCUCAACCUUGGAAUUGCCUUUGAUACUGGCAGUCUUGAAUUUGGGAGAGGUGAGUGGAACACCGAGUGUAGGGGUGAAAUUCGUAGAUAUUCGGAAGAACACCAGUGGCGAAGGCGACUCACUGGCCCAAUACUGACGCUGAGGCGCGAAAGCGUGGGGAGCAAACAGGAUUAGAAACCCGGGUAGUCC
RNAcentral lists this ribosomal RNA (425 nucleotides) under uncultured bacterium. Its description in RNAcentral is "partial 16S ribosomal RNA". It matches the Rfam family "Bacterial small subunit ribosomal RNA", at positions 354 to 796 of the family's 1533-position model. The record is from RNAcentral.